This 419-nucleotide long non-coding RNA is filed under the name Elaeis guineensis (African oil palm). RNAcentral's name for it is "long non-coding RNA (EGUI_LNC054288)". Lineage: Eukaryota; Viridiplantae; Streptophyta; Magnoliopsida; Arecales; Arecaceae. The record is from RNAcentral.
UGCUGCUGCACCAGCUAGAGGAUUUGCUGCUGAAACUGGUGAGAUUGUUGAAGAAACUGAUCCUGAAACUACUGCUGCUGAACAAAUAGAAUCUCUGCUACUCUCUCAGCCAACAGUCCCAUAUACUCAUCUUUCAAACUAAAAGAUGGUAUGGUACAGCUCGAUGGGGAUACUCUGACUGAGGGUCCUACCUCAGGCUCCAAAAAAGGGUGAUCAACUGGACUCUGCCUGGGCACAGGUGGUGAAGAUGGACUCUCCCCCUCAGCAUGCUCCUCCUCAUCAUCAUCCUCCUCUCAGAUGUAGCUGCAUGGCCCUUGGCCCAACGGCCAUCAACUUUGACAAACCCCAUGCACUGAAGGGAGUGGUUGUUGUAGGUAUCGGUGUAUGAUAGUCUACAAACAACCUUCCUCUCAAAACUC